RNAcentral lists this ribosomal RNA (840 nucleotides) under uncultured bacterium. Its description in RNAcentral is "bacterial SSU rRNA". It matches the Rfam family "Bacterial small subunit ribosomal RNA", at positions 1 to 813 of the family's 1533-position model. The record is from RNAcentral.
UUAGAGUUUGAUCCUGGCUCAGGACGAACGCUGGCGGCGUGCCUAAUACAUGCAAGUCGGGCGAGCGGAACCAACAGAUUUACUUCGGUAAUGACGUUGGGAAAGCGAGCGGCGGAUGGGUGAGUAACACGUGGGGAACCUGCCCCUAAGUCUGGGAUACCAUUUGGAAACAGGUGCUAAUACCGGAUAAUAAAGCAGAUCGCAUGAUCAGCUUUUGAAAGGCGGCGUAAGCUGUCGCUAAGGGAUGGCCCCGCGGUGCAUUAGCUAGUUGGUAAGGUAACGGCUUACCAAGGCGACGAUGCAUAGCCGAGUUGAGAGACUGAUCGGCCACGUUGGGACUGAGACACGGCCCAAACUCCUACGGGAGGCAGCAGUAGGGAAUCUUCCACAAUGGACGCAAGUCUGAUGGAGCAACGCCGCGUGAGUGAAGAAGGUUUUCGGAUCGUAAAGCUCUGUUGUUGGUGAAGAAGGAUAGAGGUAGUAACUGGCCUUUAUUUGACGGUAAUCAACCAGAAAGUCACGGCUAGCUACGUGCCAGCAGCCGCGGUAAUACGUAGGUGGCAAGCGUUGUCCGGAUUUAUUGGGCGUAAAGCGAGCGCAGGCGGAAAAAUAAGUCUAAUGUGAAAGCCCUCGGCUUAACCGAGGAACUGCAUCGGAAACUGUUUUUCUUGAGUGCAGAAGAGGAGAGUGGAACUCCAUGUGUAGCGGUGGAAUGCGUAGAUAUAUGGAAGAACACCAGUGGCGAAGGCGGCUCUCUGGUCUGCAACUGACGCUGAGGCUCGAAAGCAUGGGUAGCGAACAGGAUUAGAUACCCUGGUAGUCCAUGCCGUAAACGAUGAG